GACGAACGCUGGCGGCGUGCUUAACACAUGCAAGUCGAGCGGCUCGGAGAACGGGUGAGUAACGCGUGAGUAACUGCCCCCCUCUCUGGGAUAACAGUUGGAAACGGCUGCUAAUACCGGAUAGUGGGGGAUGACUCGCGUCCUAUCAGAUUGUUGGUGGAGUAGUGGCCUACCAAGGCUACGACGGGUAGCCGGCCUGAGAGGGCGACCGGCCACAUUGGGCUGAGAUACGGCCCAAACGCCUACGGGAGGCAGCAGUCGGGAAUAGUGCACAUUGGUGCAAAGCAUGAUGCAGAAACGCCGCGGGCGGGAUGACGGCCUGCGGGUUGGAAACCGCUUGCAGCCAUGACGCGGUAGUGGCAGAAGAAGCACCGGCUAACUACGUGCCAGCAGCAGCGGUAAUAC
Molecule: ribosomal RNA, 405 nt
Filed under: uncultured bacterium
Lineage: Bacteria
Description: partial 16S ribosomal RNA
Rfam family: Bacterial small subunit ribosomal RNA
Source: RNAcentral